AACGUGUAUCAGUUAUCAGUGUUACCGAGUACCGCCGUAUCUUUGAAAUUUGGAAUUGGAUAAGAACUUUAAAAAAGUUACUUUGGGGGAGGUCAAGAGAAGUAGCCUGGAACAAGAAACCGAUGACAUUCCAACUAAUCCAGAGAAGUCAACCAUGAAGAAAGUCAUGACUACAGAGUACAAUGCUGCUGAAACUUCUACUAGCUCCAUCGUGCGAGCCGAGAAUAUUCAGACAGCUCAGAGACAACUUUUGCAGCAGACCACCGUGCCUCCAACAGUAGAUGGCUAUCACAACAAGACCAGCCUAGUACGGACAUCUACAACACUAGAUAUGGAAUUGGCUAAGAACUUGGAAGCAUUUACUCUGGGAGAGUUCAAGAGAAGUAACCUGGAACAACAAACUGAUGACAUUCCAAGUAAUCCAGAGAAGCCAACCAUGAAGAAAGUCACGACUACAGAGUACAAUGCUGCUGACACUUCUAGCUCCAUCGUACAACCAGAGAAUAUUCAGACAACUCAGAGACAACCUUUACAGCAGACCACCGUGCCUCCAACAGUAGGUAGAGGAAGGGGCAAGUUACUGCAAAAGCUGGCAGACUUUCACAAGAAGACCAGCUCAGGGAGAACAUGUACAACACAAGACAUGGAAUUGGCUAAGAACUUGGAAGCAUUUACUCUGGGAGAGUUCAAGAGAAGUAACCUGGAACAACAAACUGAUGACAUUCCAAGUAAUCCAGAGAAGCCAACCAUGAAGAAAGUCAUGAUCACAGAGUACAAUGCUGCUGAAACUUCUAGCUCCAUCGUACAACCAGAGAUUAUUCAGACAACUCAGAGACAACCUUUACAGCAGACCACCGUGCCUCCAACAGUUGGUAGAGGAAGGGGCAAGUUACUACAAAAGCUGGCAGAGCUAGCCAGUAUACCAUGUACAUCAACCGCAUACCAAGAUACUGCCAGAGACAGAGAGGAGAAUCGCAGAGAUUUGGCAAUACUACCGUCUGGGAUCAGCGUUGGAACAGCUGCGAAACAACUCCCUGACAACAGUUUUUCAACCAGUUAAAUGUGCAGGAAGAGGGAGGAUGGCGGAAUACUUACAAAGAAAAAUCGCCAGUCUGGCAGACCAUACAGUAACGUCCGUAAACUAUCCAAGUCCAACAAAGAAAACUCCUGGUACUACCACUACCUUUGGAGAUACUUCUA
RNA transcript from Homalodisca vitripennis (glassy-winged sharpshooter), 1200 nucleotides. RefSeq lists it as uncharacterized. The transcript is spliced from 19 exons. The record is from RefSeq and is a predicted model, not a curated record. Lineage: Eukaryota; Metazoa; Arthropoda; Insecta; Hemiptera; Cicadellidae.